This 420-nucleotide ribosomal RNA is filed under the name uncultured bacterium. Its description in RNAcentral is "partial 16S ribosomal RNA". It matches the Rfam family "Bacterial small subunit ribosomal RNA", at positions 360 to 772 of the family's 1533-position model. The record is from RNAcentral.
AAUAUCGGACUAUGGGGGCUACCCUGAUCCAGCUCUGCAGCUUGUGUGAAGAAGGUCUUCGGAUUGUAAAGCACUUUAAGUUGGGAGGAAGGGCUUUAGGCUAAUACCCUGAAGCGUUGACGUUACCACCAGCAUAAGAACCGGCUAACUUUUCUCCAGCAGUCGCGGUAAUACAUAGGGUGCAAGCGUUAAUCUGAAUUACUGGGCGUAAAGCGCGGGUAGGUGGUUCAGUAAGAUGGGUGUGACAUCCCCGGGCUUAACCUGGGAACUGCUUUUAUAACUGCAAAGCUAGAGUACGGUAGAGGGUAGUGGAAUUUCCUGUGUAGCGGUGAAAUGCGUAGAUAUAGGAAGGAACACCAGUGGCGAAGGCGACUACCUGGACUGAUACUGACACUGAGGUGCGAAAGCGUGGGGAGCAAA